GGAAUCUUAGACAAUGGGGGAAACCCUGAUCUAGCCAUGCCGCGUGAGUGACGAAGGCCUUAGGGUCGUAAAGCUCUUUCGCCAGGGAAGAUAAUGACGGUACCUGGUAAAGAAACCCCGUCUAACUCCGUGCCAGCAGCCGCGGUAAUACGGAGGGGGUUAGCGUUGUUCGGAAUUACUGGGCGUAAAGCGCGCGUAGGCGGACUGGAAAGUUGGGGGUGAAGUCCCAGGGCUCAACCCUGGAACUGCCUCCAAAACUAUCAGUCUGGAGUUCGAGAGAGGUGAGUGGAAUUCCGAGUGUAGAGGUGAAAUUCGUAGAUAUUCAGAGGAACACCAGUGGCGAAGGCGGCUCACUGGCUCGAUACUGACGCUGAGGUGCGAAAGCGUGGGGAGCA
RNAcentral lists this ribosomal RNA (395 nucleotides) under uncultured bacterium. Its description in RNAcentral is "bacterial SSU rRNA". It matches the Rfam family "Bacterial small subunit ribosomal RNA", at positions 358 to 770 of the family's 1533-position model. The record is from RNAcentral.